RNAcentral lists this transfer RNA (81 nucleotides) under Streptomyces noursei. RNAcentral describes it as "tRNA-Val". Lineage: Bacteria; Bacillati; Actinomycetota; Actinomycetes; Kitasatosporales; Streptomycetaceae. The record is from RNAcentral.
GGCACGGCUGGCGGGCCUGGCGGACGCCUGCGGGCUGACGGCCCGGGAGAUCGCCGGGUACCAGCCGCGACCGGGCUGCCA